This 486-nucleotide ribosomal RNA is filed under the name Oceanobacillus picturae. RNAcentral describes it as "bacterial SSU rRNA". It matches the Rfam family "Bacterial small subunit ribosomal RNA", at positions 56 to 525 of the family's 1533-position model. Lineage: Bacteria; Bacillati; Bacillota; Bacilli; Caryophanales; Bacillaceae. The record is from RNAcentral.
GGGAAGCUGAUCCCCUUCGGGGGUGACGCUUGUGGAAUGAGCGGCGGACGGGUGAGUAACACGUGGGCAACCUGCCUGUAAGACUGGGAUAACCCCGGGAAACCGGGGCUAAUACCGGAUAAUACUUUCUUUUGCAUAAAGGAAAGUUGAAAGGCGGCUUCGGCUGUCACUUACAGAUGGGCCCGCGGCGCAUUAGCUAGUUGGUGAGGUAACGGCUCACCAAGGCGACGAUGCGUAGCCGACCUGAGAGGGUGAUCGGCCACACUGGGACUGAGACACGGCCCAGACUCCUACGGGAGGCAGCAGUAGGGAAUCUUCCGCAAUGGACGAAAGUCUGACGGAGCAACGCCGCGUGAGUGAUGAAGGUUUUCGGAUCGUAAAACUCUGUUGUUAGGGAAGAACAAGUUGGGUAGUAACUGACCCAACCUUGACGGUACCUAACCAGAAAGCCACGGCUAACUACGUGCCAGCAGGGGCCCGGUAAUA